This is a long non-coding RNA of Mastomys coucha (southern multimammate mouse), 1414 nucleotides long. RefSeq lists it as uncharacterized. Lineage: Eukaryota; Metazoa; Chordata; Mammalia; Rodentia; Muridae. The record is from RefSeq and is a predicted model, not a curated record. The transcript has 11 exons.
CAGCCUGCCAUGUAAGGAGCUACCCUGAGUCUGGAAGGAAGUCUAGCAGGGCGAUUUCCAUAUCAACUGUGGCAUCUUGGGCAAUCACAUCCUCUGUGCUCAUAGGAUCUGCAUCACAGAGUUGCACCUCGUGCACUCUCGGAUGAACCCAAAGGUGGCAUUUUUUGCACAGAGAACAACUGUGAUAAAAGUCCAUCUGUGAUGGAAGAGAAGCACUGAGAACAGCAAGGAGGGUAUGCUGUGCCUAACAUAUGCCAGUGUCUUACAUCUAAGAGUCUUGUCAUCCUAAAAAGCCUUUGGACCUGAUCUGUUAUAAUUUCAAGAUGUGUGCUCUCAGCCUCUAUCCAUGUUUCCUACCAUGAUCGUGGACUUCCUUCUGAAAUUAUGCAUCAGAAAAGGAGCAAAGCCUGGUAGCUCAAGAAUUAUCCAGUGUUCCAGACACAGUACCAUAGAAAGCCAUGUGUCUCAAACCACAGGAACCUAUUCCUGCCCCUUUAUGUACUUAUGAAAACUAGUGAUAUACUCAAUCAUCAAGAUAUCAAGCAUGGAGCAGAGGUCAUUAAGAGAAUAAAGACAUUGCAGCCAGGUUCCUAACUUGGGCCUAAGUACAAGUCACUAAAGGAAUCAUGGUCAAGUUUCUGAAUCAGUUUGGCUGUUUGAAGAAACAAACUUCACUGAAAUUUUUCCCGGGAGCAUGUUAAUGUAGAUGAAAGAAAAACGCAGCCCUUUCUUGGGUUUGAAAUGGAUAGGAAUGAGCAUGUGGAAAGGUCAAGCUGUGAACAGGACCCUGAGCUCCCCAUCCUGAUGAAUCAAGUGCUGAAAAGAGAGAUACUACACCAUGAGAAGAGAGGGAGAAACUCACACCCACCAAAGAAGAAUAGAGAAAGACACAACACUGAGCAGAGAAUGCUACAUGAAGGAGUCACAUGCCUUUGUCUCUAAUUUCAUAUCAUCGUCAGAGAGGAGCGCUGGGCAUUAUUUAUGGGUGGAAUAUCAAAUGAAGGUGGCUGUGCUGAAAAACUAGAAUUCAAUUAAUCAUAUGAGGCCUGGUCAUCCUUCUUUAGGAUCAAGGAAGCUCACUCCUAAUCCCUUGCUUAAUCUUCAUAAGCCUCAAUUCUGGAACAAGAUGCUCAAGGUGCUUUCACCCUUGCUUCUGUGUCAUAUCUGGAGCAAAAGAAGCUUCAUCAUGGAGGCAUAGCCAGUCCUUGGAGUUUCUGAAACUCUGGCAACAAAUGCAGAUAUUAUAUAGCUCCAGAGUGACCCUGUGCUAGAAGGAUGCAAGCUAUGCUGAGUCUGAGCACCUCUCUGCUCUGAAAGUCAUGAGCAGAGUUGCUCAGGAUGUCUACCAGUCUUCAGAAUGAAGGGGCUUGUGGAAGUGUACAGUCCUCUCUUCAAUAAAGCUGUUCAAAACCAA